This 1054-nucleotide unclassified non-coding RNA is filed under the name Melitaea cinxia (Glanville fritillary). RNAcentral describes it as "misc RNA ENSMCXG00005009478.1". Lineage: Eukaryota; Metazoa; Arthropoda; Insecta; Lepidoptera; Nymphalidae. The record is from RNAcentral.
AAAUUUAUUCCUAAUAGGGAAAGGCAAAGGACUAUACUCCAUAAAGCCGAGUUUGAAUUUGUAAGUUUCGUUCCGAUAUAACAAAAGGCUGGAGCCAAGUCUGAAGUAAAAUAUCCGACACUUUUUCAGUUUUAGUUUUCCUAUUGGAAAUUAUAGUGAGACUAUUUGAAAUUUCGAACACAUAUUUUUGUUUAUGAUUUUAUAUCUAUUGUAAAUUUAUCUAUUAUCUGCAUUUAUUUUGGCCGUGUCACUGUCGCCGUGUCGCCUACUUACACGUUGUCAAUUUAUCAUUAUUUUUACCUAUAACAUCAGAAUUUAUAUCUGUUUUCAAUAAAUUUAUAGGUAGUUUUUUAAAGUAAAACAAACAUGUCGUCCCCCGACGAAAGUUCUCAACUCAAAGCAGGUCAUCCUCCUGCAGUGAAAGCUGGUGGUAUGAGAAUCACCCAACAUAAAGUUCCCCACUCUAAAGACGAACGUAAGGAACAACCGAAUGAAGACUUAACAGGACUUGCCGGCCCUAAUCCAGUACCAACUAACCCAGUUUCAAUUGUCGGAGCUCCUAACAGAGUUUCAACUAUACCUAUGUAUGGUCAAAAUGUUUAGCAAUUGGGACCAUGUUAAUCAUGUUUUAUAAUUUUUAAUUUCAUUUAUUAGUUUGAAAUAAAAUUGUGAUUUUUUUUUGGUUUUUUAUUUUUUAUAUUAAUUUAUCAUUACUCAUUUACGUCCAUAGUUAAUGAAAUAAUUUUUAACACAUUGUCGUCAAGCAAUGAUUUGACGACAAGUUGGCGCAACCCUAUGCAGCACUACCUGAUGCGCUGAUAGCUGCGGGUUCAGUCUUCGCUCAUAAAAAUAUGUAUUUGCUGUUUGACGUUUGUGCUUUGUUUGUGUUAUGUGCCCAAACCAAACCCUUGACACGAUUGACAUCCUUCUUAAUAAAUAAGUACCACCAAAAGUGUGCAAAUUCUUAAAAAUUAUAUUAUAUUAGUUUUAAUGUGAAUAAUUGAAUGUAAAUUAAAAUGAAAUGUCGAUAAUAUAUAAAAAGUAAAUUGCAAAC